GGUACUAGAAAAGAGGUUAUCCGUGUUUCUUCGCUUUAUUUAUGACGAAAAAUACGGGUGCACUUCUAUUUGAGUAUC
Camelus ferus (Wild Bactrian camel) is the source of this 78-nucleotide non-coding RNA. The record is from Rfam. NCBI's taxonomy places the organism in Eukaryota, Metazoa, Chordata, Mammalia, Artiodactyla, Camelidae.